RNAcentral lists this long non-coding RNA (1696 nucleotides) under Sus scrofa (pig). RNAcentral's name for it is "lncRNA (ENSSSCG00015080927.1)". The record is from RNAcentral. Lineage: Eukaryota; Metazoa; Chordata; Mammalia; Artiodactyla; Suidae.
UGUUCUAUUCUCAGCCCAAGUAAGAGCAGGAUUUUCCACUCCCAGCCCAGACCAUUGUCCAGCAGUGACGAGGAGGGACCUGCCUGCUCUCAAAAUAUCUCCUCUUACUCUCCGGACCUCCCUGCCUCUCGCCACCUCCUCACGCUGACAUCACUUCCUGGGGCUGUUGACUCCUGAAGGCUGCUGUGAAAGGGCACGGCCCCCUGCCAGGGACCCCAGGGACUAUCCUACCCAGCGGCAGGCUUAAGGCCAGGGGGGGGGUUGGCCCGAGGUCACUGGGCAAGUCACCGUGGCGCCUGGCCAUGCGCCAGGGGCUCCGCUGUCCCCGCUGCCCUGCUCCCUUUAGCGCUGUCAGUGCCUUUGCGGGAAUCCCGCCAUCCCCCCACCGCCCCAGCUCUUCCCACCUCUGAUGGAGCUGGGGACCCGGCCAGAGACCUGGGUGGGGGGAGCCGGGUGGAGGAGUGAAUGCCUGCUGACUGGUCGCUGCAGCUGCUCUCAGUGAGCCCCUGCCACCAGGGCAGGACACCUGGCACAUUGGAGUCUCUACCCUGGGUGGCAGUUGUCCUAGGGCCCAGGAGGGACACUUACCCUCCAAGGCUAAGAAAGGCCCUGGCCCACAUGGCUUCCAGACACGGUUAGUCCGGUCUGGGUCCAGAUCAGGCCACCACAGCUGCCCCUCUGCCACCACCCUGGUCAUGGCAGAUUUGGGCUGAUCUGUCUGGUCAGGCCCACGAGGAGGGGAGCCGAGGCCCUGAGCCACGCACGUCCCAGGCACCGCGCAGGGCCCUCCCACGUCCGUCAUACUAUUUCUUCUCCACCAGCGCCAGUGAAACAGGCAUCAUUAUCCCCAUUGAGCAGGUGAGGGACAGGCUCUGGUGGGUGAGGACUCGCGCCAGGUUACACAGGCAGUAAACCUGAGUCAAGGCGGGAGCUCAGGUCCACCGAUGCCCAGAUUAGUUCCCGGUCCAGGAGCCCAUGCCCCAUGCAGCUCCUGUGGGGCAGGAGGGCUUUAAGUGAUGCUUCCUGUGAUUCAGGAUGAGAGAGGCAGUCUGGUGAGGGUGGGUUAAGGAUGCCAGUUCUGUGUCCAGACCACCUGCCUUGGGGUACGGUCUUUGCUUUCUCCAGCUAUGGCAUCUUGGGCAAAUCACUUAACCUGGCAGGGCCUCCGCUUUCUCAUGUCUAGAAGGAGACACUAGGGUGCAUGUAGCGCAUGGGACACUUACCUGAAAUAACACAUAUGAAGUGCUUAAAGCAGAGCCUGGCACAUGGUAAGCAUUGACAUGCCAGGCACUGUGCCAAGGGAUACGGAGGUGGACCAGCUGGACCCUGCCCUUGUGGAGCUGACAUAAUUUGACAUGUAACCACAGUGGGAUAAGUGAUUUGAAGGAAAGGACAGCGUGUCCAGCCAGGGGGCAUGGGUGUCCUUGUGGCUGAGGCUUCCCAGGGUGUGGGAGGAGGAAGCUGGUCCAUCCGGGGAAAGAUGUGGGACCACCCUCUGCCCUGCCUGGCACUGGGAGGCUCUCAGACCCUUGUCCAGGUGAUGGCCUGUGGGAGGAGGGCUAGGAUGCCCUUGAUCUUCCCUAGGGGCUCAAGGGCCCCCACCCGCGCAGGGCACAGGCUUAGCCGUGUCCCUCUGACUGGUGGUGCCCGCCACAGGGCACUGCAGCCACGCCUUGGUUUAACCAAGAGUCCGAAA